Molecule: RNA transcript, 2100 nt
Organism: Micropterus salmoides (largemouth bass)
Lineage: Eukaryota; Metazoa; Chordata; Actinopteri; Centrarchiformes; Centrarchidae
Gene name: GRAM domain-containing protein 2B-like
Exons: 13
Source: RefSeq, a predicted model, not a curated record
GACUAUGCUAUUUUUUUGCCUUCAGACUUAGUUUAAGGAGGAUUCAGGAUAUCGACUUGCACUGCAUGUCUGAAAGUGUGUGUGUGCGUGUGUGUUUGUGUGUGUGCACGUGUAGUGAGUGCAUGAGUUGGAUUGGAUGAGUGUGUAUUUUGCAUCAUGAGCCUCAAAAACAGGAGAUUCUCACUGGACAGUUCUGUGUCUCCAGAUGGAGUUGGGCCCCUUGGUGGAAAAACAGGCAGCGACAGGUUUAGUAGUAAGAAAUCUAGAAAGAGUUUGGACGAUGCCCGACUGGAGAGUCAUCAGCUAAGUCACAGCCUCAACUCCAACAUUUCCCUCAGGGAGCAGUCCAUAGCAGAGGAGACCCUUCAGCGAUCAAAUGGGCUCAUCAAAAAUAAUAGCUUCCUGAAGCACAACAAAACUUUCCACAAGCUGUUUCAAGAGAUUCCUGAGGGGGAGAACCUGAUACACUCAUUCACCUGUGCCUUGCAGAAAGAGGUGCUGUAUCAUGGGAAACUCUUUGUUUCUGAGAACCAUGUGUGUUUCCACUCAUCCGUGCUGCUCAAAGAUACCAAGGUGGUGAUUCCUGUGUCCAGCGUCAGGGACGUGAAGAAAUACAACUCAGCUUUGUCCAUGUUGUCCAUUCAAACUGUUGGAGAGAAGUACUCAUUUGUGUCUUUGAGGCACCGUGAGAUGUGUUACAAACUCCUCCAAACUGUCUCUUUACAUGAACAGGUGGAGAGCAGCACUCAUCCCUCCUCUGAGAAUGAAGCUGAUCAUGACUUGGGCUCCAGUUAUUCGAGUUUGGAGGACUGCGCAGAUCAUGAUCUGAGCAGACAGCAGAACAUUUUUCUUGAUAACGGCUUUCCUCAGAUGUCCAGUGAAGGUCCUACAAGAAGCAAUUCCACCCGUCAAAACAGCUUAAUAGAUGAAGAGAACAGAGGUGUGUGUGUAACAGCUCACAAACAGAUGUGCCCAUAUGCUGAAUCAUGGCUUCGGAGAAUCACUGAGAAUGUUGCGCCGCUCUACUUCCUCAGAGAAAUAAGGAAUCUCAGCGUUCUCUUCUACAUCUACAUGAUGCUGAUGACAUUGCUCCUCUUGGUGGCUGUCUACAUCGGGCUGAGGAUCACAGCACUGGAGGAGCAGCUGAACUCUUUGGGAGCCCUGACUGAGUUGUCUUUGCACAACGGAGAGUGAGUUGAUGCAUAAAGAAAAAAGGCAGCCUGUCAGGAGAAAGACACAAGAGGAAGUCUGAUGGGAAAAAAAGUACCAAGAAACAUAGCCAGUGGCAAGGGACUGUGACAAACAAAUCCUGCAAUGCACCACUCUAUUAAGAUCCUGCUGUACAUUGAUCCCUGUCUAGACAGGCUCCCAAAAGCAUCUUAGCAGUGAGACUCAGCCCAUCUAACAUGCUAUUGGCCUACGUCUUUCAGUGAAAGUUUUUUUUGUAAAAACAAAUGUACAAUAUUUUGCACAAACAUGUUCACAGUAAAAAUUAACCUUCCGUGUUAGCGCCACGUCUACAGAUGAUGCAAGUCAGCAAUAAGAUGCUUUUGGGAUGUCUGAACCAGGCCACCAUGUGGUGAACUACAUGGAUGACUGAGUGUGUUGGCAGAGAAGCACCCCGACAAUAUUUCUGUUAGGAGUGCACUCAUUCUCUGCUGAUAGGAAAAAAUUCAUGCGAGGAUCUCCUGCAUUGAGCCAUAUGGAGGCAGCCUGUUGAAGCCAGGUUUAUUUCCUGGCAGGUGAACAGCUGAGCUCAGCUAGCGGAGGUUGCAGGAGUCUUGGCCAUCUUGGAUCAACACAUCCUGCCACAAUUGACAACACACCGGAGUCACUAUUAACAAGAAUAUGAAAAAAUGUGAAUGACAAUAAUCAGCCAGCAGAGGGCAGUCACCCCCAUUAAACUUCACUGUUACGAGAGAGAAAGGCAGGAGUUCACUUCUUCAAAAUGCAAAUUGUACAACACUUUUGCUAGUGCCCUUUUGUCACACCUGUUAACAGAGAAUUUUUGACAUCCAGUGUUCAUACACUUGUUGGCGAUAUGAUUUUCAUCACUUUAAACCAUUUUUAUGACAAAACAUUGUGAAUUUUGUGUAAAUA